GGCCCAAAUCCGGAGUAAGGUAGAUUAAUAAGGUCACCUGGUCCUACUAUUCCACUGUACUUCAGAAUUGGGCUC
Molecule: microRNA precursor, 75 nt
Filed under: Haemonchus placei
Lineage: Eukaryota; Metazoa; Nematoda; Chromadorea; Rhabditida; Trichostrongylidae
Description: mir-5928 microRNA precursor family
Rfam family: mir-5928 microRNA precursor family
Source: Rfam by way of RNAcentral